CCACGUCAGACGCCAGGUCAAUAGACCUGACCAACCAGGACACAACAAGUGGCAAAGAUGCUGACGCGAGAGGGUCAUGUGGGCGAUCUGCGUGCUCGCGAUCGAAUGGCUGAGAUCCGUUCCCGCGCGCACGGACAACCUGGAUGCGCUCCCUCCUAAACACAAUCGAAUGGCCAAAUUCAAACGUGAUCGGACGGUACAGAGUGAAUCGCGAUGGACGGUCCAAAUUGGAUCGCGACGAACGGUCCAGAUUCACUCCCUAUUUAAUCGCGAUC
RNAcentral lists this long non-coding RNA (275 nucleotides) under Carica papaya (papaya). RNAcentral describes it as "long non-coding RNA (CPAP_LNC016439)". Lineage: Eukaryota; Viridiplantae; Streptophyta; Magnoliopsida; Brassicales; Caricaceae. The record is from RNAcentral.